GUGCUUGCUUUGCAGCACAUAUGCUAAAAUUGGAACCAUAUAGAGAAGAUUAGCAUGGCCCCUGCACAAGGAUGACAUGCAAAUUCAUGAAGCAUUCCAUAUUUUU
Molecule: small nuclear RNA, 106 nt
Filed under: Canis lupus familiaris (dog)
Lineage: Eukaryota; Metazoa; Chordata; Mammalia; Carnivora; Canidae
Also listed under: 2 other names
Source: RNAcentral